RNAcentral lists this transfer-messenger RNA (366 nucleotides) under bacterium. Its description in RNAcentral is "JABDJQ01 sp013002425 Standard tmRNA". It matches the Rfam family "transfer-messenger RNA". From Rfam's summary of the family: Bacterial tmRNA, also known as 10Sa RNA or SsrA, is named for its dual tRNA and mRNA-like properties. Its role is to liberate the mRNA from a stalled ribosome. The record is from RNAcentral. RNAcentral also lists the same sequence under 1 other name.
GGGGGCGAAUGGACUCGACGGGUGUGUAGUAAACGGUGGCCGCGUGCCGGGGAUUGGUCGUUAACCCCGUAAAAAUGAUGACUAAAUCGUAAUUGCCAACGAAAACAUGGCUCUGGCUGCCUAACUUAGGUUAGAUGCAGUUCGUCUGUACCUUCCUCGCCUCUAGGGAGGGAUACGGGCGUAACUUAUAGAGGCUUUAUCUCGAACCAGCGGUCCGGGGGGAGAGACGAGAACUUAGGGCCUGGUCCUGGUGAGAUCCUGCCGGUCGGAGCUCACCGAGGACGACAACAAAUGACCUGGCUACGCACGUAGACUCCUCCGCCGAACCGCUCUCGGACGCGGGUUCGAUUCCCGCCGCCUCCACCA